GAUGAACGCUGGCGGCGUGCCUAAUACAUGCAAGUCGAGCGAACGGACGAGAAGCUUGCUUCUCUGAUGUUAGCGGCGGACGGGUGAGUAACACGUGGAUAACCUACCUAUAAGACUGGGAUAACUUCGGGAAACCGGAGCUAAUACCGGAUGAUAUUUUGAACCGCAUGGUUCAAAAGUGAAAGACGGUCUUGCUGUCACUUAUAGAUGGAUCCGCGCUGCAUUAGCUAGUUGGUAAGGUAAUGGCUUACCAAGGCAACGAUGCAUAGCCGACCUGAGAGGGUGAUCGGCCACACUGGAACUGAAACACGGUCCAGACUCCUACGGGAGGCAGCAGUAGGGAAUCUUCCGCAAUGGGCGAAAGCCUGACGGAGCAACGCCGCGUGAGUGAUGAAGGUCUUCGGAUCGUAAAACUCUGUUAUUAGGGAAGAACAUAUGUGUAAGUAACUGUGCACAUCUUGACGGUACCUAAUCAGAAAGCCACGGCUAACUACGUG
Molecule: ribosomal RNA, 497 nt
Filed under: uncultured bacterium
Lineage: Bacteria
Description: partial 16S ribosomal RNA
Rfam family: Bacterial small subunit ribosomal RNA
Source: RNAcentral